Molecule: transfer RNA, 93 nt
Filed under: Puniceicoccales bacterium
Lineage: Bacteria; Pseudomonadati; Verrucomicrobiota; Opitutia; Puniceicoccales
Description: tRNA-Ser
Rfam family: tRNA
About the family: Transfer RNA (tRNA) molecules are approximately 80 nucleotides in length. Their secondary structure includes four short double-helical elements and three loops (D, anti-codon, and T loops). Further hydrogen bonds mediate the characteristic L-shaped molecular structure. tRNAs have two regions of fundamental functional importance: the anti-codon, which is responsible for specific mRNA codon recognition, and the 3' end, to which the tRNAs corresponding amino acid is attached (by aminoacyl-tRNA synthetases). tRNAs cope with the degeneracy of the genetic code in two manners: having more than one tRNA (with a specific anti-codon) for a particular amino acid; and 'wobble' base-pairing, i.e. permitting non-standard base-pairing at the 3rd anti-codon position.
Source: RNAcentral
GGAGAGAUGGCUGAGCGGUCGAAAGCGCCUUCCUGCUAAGAAGGUGGUCCUAUAAAACGGGACUCGAGGGUUCGAAUCCCUCUCUCUCCGCCA